RNAcentral lists this ribosomal RNA (466 nucleotides) under Vreelandella stevensii. Its description in RNAcentral is "partial 16S ribosomal RNA". It matches the Rfam family "Bacterial small subunit ribosomal RNA", at positions 338 to 795 of the family's 1533-position model. Lineage: Bacteria; Pseudomonadati; Pseudomonadota; Gammaproteobacteria; Oceanospirillales; Halomonadaceae. The record is from RNAcentral.
CCUACGGGUGGCAGCAGUGGGGAAUAUUGGACAAUGGGCGAAAGCCUGAUCCAGCCAUGCCGCGUGUGUGAAGAAGGCCUUCGGGUUGUAAAGCACUUUCAGUGGGGAAGAAAGCCUUGGGGCUAAUACCCUCGAGGAAGGACAUCACCCACAGAAGAAGCACCGGCUAACUCCGUGCCAGCAGCCGCGGUAAUACGGGAGGGUGCGAGCGUUAAUCGGAAUUACUGGGCGUAAAGCGCGCGUAGGCGGUCUGAUAAGCCGGUUGUGAAAGCCCCGGGCUCAACCUGGGAACGGCAUCCGGAACUGUCAGGCUAGAGUGCAGGAGAGGAAGGUAGAAUUCCCGGUGUAGCGGUGAAAUGCGUAGAGAUCGGGAGGAAUACCAGUGGCGAAGGCGGCCUUCUGGACUGACACUGACGCUGAGGUGCGAAAGCGUGGGUAGCAAACAGGAUUAGAUACCCGGGUAGUC